AGAGUUUGAUCCUGGCUCAGGAUGAACGCUAGCUACAGGCUUAACACAUGCAAGUCGAGGGGAAACGACAUCGAAAGCUUGCUUUUGAGUGGGCGUCGACCGGCGCGACGGGUGAGUACGCGUAUCCAACCUGCCCACCACUUGGGGAUAACCUUGCGAAAGUAAGACUAAUACCCAAUGACGUCUCUAGAAGACAUCUGAAGGAGAUUAAAGAUUUAUCGGUGAUGGAUGGGGAUGCGUCUGAUUAGCUUGUUGGCGGGGUAACGGCCACCAAGGCGACGAUCAGUAGGGGUUCUGAGAGGAAGGUCCCCCACAUUGGAACUGAGACACGGUCCAAACUCCUACGGGAGGCA
Molecule: ribosomal RNA, 353 nt
Filed under: uncultured bacterium
Lineage: Bacteria
Description: bacterial SSU rRNA
Rfam family: Bacterial small subunit ribosomal RNA
Source: RNAcentral